GUCCUAUUGAUUUAUAAUUUUAGGUCUGGCCUGCCCACUGAAUUUUAAAAGGCCGCGGUAUUUUGACCGUGCUAAGGUAGCAUAAUCAUUAGUUUUUUAAUUGGAAGCUAGAAUGAAUGGUUGGAUAAGAAAAUAACUGUCUCUAUAUUAAAUUAAUUGAAUUUUAUUUUUAAGUUAAAAAGCUUAAAUUUUAUUGAAAGACGAGAAGACCCUAUAGAGUUUUAUAAGUUUAAAUUUUAAAAAUUUUGGAAUUUUAAUUAUAAAAUUUAAAUUUAUUUGGUUGGGGUGAUUUUAAAAUUUGAUAAACUUUUAAUUAAUUAAGUCAUUAAUUUAUGAAUUUUUGAUCCAUUUAUUUUGAUUAUAAGAUUAAAUUACCUUAGGGAUAACAGCGUAAUUUUUUUAGAGAGUUCAAAUCGAAAAAAGAGAUUGCGACCUCGAUGUUGGAUUAAAGUAAAUUUUUGGUGUAGAAGCUAAAUAUUUAGGUCUGUUCGACCUUUAAAACUUUACAUGA
Molecule: ribosomal RNA, 511 nt
Filed under: Bebelis acuta acuta
Lineage: Eukaryota; Metazoa; Arthropoda; Insecta; Coleoptera; Cerambycidae
Description: partial large subunit ribosomal RNA
Rfam family: Bacterial large subunit ribosomal RNA
Source: RNAcentral